RNAcentral lists this ribosomal RNA (254 nucleotides) under uncultured bacterium. RNAcentral describes it as "partial 16S ribosomal RNA". It matches the Rfam family "Bacterial small subunit ribosomal RNA", at positions 524 to 776 of the family's 1533-position model. The record is from RNAcentral.
UACAGAGACUGCAAGCGUUAUUCGGAUUCACUGGGCGUAAAGGGUGCGCAGGCGGCCAAGUGUGUGAGGCGUGAAAGCCCGGGGCUUAACCCCGGAAUUGCACCUCAAACUACAUGGCUAGAGCAUUGGAGAGGGUAGCGGAAUUCACGGUGUAGCAGUGAAAUGCGUAGAUAUCGUGAGGAACACCAGAGGCGAAGGCGGCUACCUGGACAAUUGCUGACGCUCAGGCACGAAAGCGUGGGGGAGCAAAAGGG